Molecule: ribosomal RNA, 1479 nt
Filed under: uncultured bacterium
Lineage: Bacteria
Description: 16S ribosomal RNA
Rfam family: Bacterial small subunit ribosomal RNA
Source: RNAcentral
GCUCAGAUUGAACGCUGGCGGCAGGCCUAACACAUGCAAGUCGAGCGGAUGAAGGGAGCUUGCUCCUGGAUUCAGCGGCGGACGGGUGAGUAAUGCCUAGGAAUCUGCCUGGUAGUGGGGGAUAACGUCCGGAAACGGGCGCUAAUACCGCAUACGUCCUGAGGGAGAAAGUGGGGGAUCUUCGGACCUCACGCUAUCAGAUGAGCCUAGGUCGGAUUAGCUAGUUGGUGGGGUAAAGGCCUACCAAGGCGACGAUCCGUAACUGGUCUGAGAGGAUGAUCAGUCACACUGGAACUGAGACACGGUCCAGACUCCUACGGGAGGCAGCAGUGGGGAAUAUUGGACAAUGGGCGAAAGCCUGAUCCAGCCAUGCCGCGUGUGUGAAGAAGGUCUUCGGAUUGUAAAGCACUUUAAGUUGGGAGGAAGGGCAGUAAGUUAAUACCUUGCUGUUUUGACGUUACCAACAGAAUAAGCACCGGCUAACUUCGUGCCAGCAGCCGCGGUAAUACGAAGGGUGCAAGCGUUAAUCGGAAUUACUGGGCGUAAAGCGCGCGUAGGUGGUUCAGCAAGUUGGAUGUGAAAUCCCCGGGCUCAACCUGGGAACUGCAUCCAAAACUACUGAGCUAGAGUACGGUAGAGGGUGGUGGAAUUUCCUGUGUAGCGGUGAAAUGCGUAGAUAUAGGAAGGAACACCAGUGGCGAAGGCGACCACCUGGACUGAUACUGACACUGAGGUGCGAAAGCGUGGGGGGCAAACAGGAUUAGAUACCCUGGUAGUCCACGCCGUAAACGANUUCGACUAGCCGUUGGGAUCCUUGAGAUCUUAGUGGCGCAGCUAACGCGAUAAGUCGACCGCCUGGGGAGUACGGCCGCAAGGUUAAAACUCAAAUGAAUUGACGGGGGCCCGCACAAGCGGUGGAGCAUGUGGUUUAAUUCGAAGCAACGCGAAGAACCUUACCUGGCCUUGACAUGCUGAGAACUUUCCAGAGAUGGAUUGGUGCCUUCGGGAACUCAGACACAGGUGCUGCAUGGCUGUCGUCAGCUCGUGUCGUGAGAUGUUGGGUUAAGUCCCGUAACGAGCGCAACCCUUGUCCUUAGUUACCAGCACCUCGGGUGGGCACUCUAAGGAGACUGCCGGUGACAAACCGGAGGAAGGUGGGGAUGACGUCAAGUCAUCAUGGCCCUUACGGCCAGGGCUACACACGUGCUACAAUGGUCGGUACAAAGGGUUGCCAAGCCGCGAGGUGGAGCUAAUCCCAUAAAACCGAUCGUAGUCCGGAUCGCAGUCUGCAACUCGACUGCGUGAAGUCGGAAUCGCUAGUAAUCGUGAAUCAGAAUGUCACGGUGAAUACGUUCCCGGGCCUUGUACACACCGCCCGUCACACCAUGGGAGUGGGUUGCUCCAGAAGUAGCUAGUCUAACCGCAAGGGGGACGGUUACCACGGAGUGAUUCAUGACUGGGGUGAAGUCGUAACAAGGU